GACGAAGGACCCGAGCGUUAUCCGGAUUCAUUGGGUUUAAAGGGUGCGUAGGCGGAUUGAUAAGUCAGUGGUGAAAUCCCAUCGCUUAACGGUGGAACUGCCAUUGAUACUGUCGAUCUUGAAUAUGUUUGAUGUGGGCGGAAUAUGACAUGUAGCGGUGAAAUGCUUAGAUAUGUCAUAGAACACCGAUUGCGAAGGCAGCUCACAAAGCCAUUAUUGACGCUGAGGCACGAAAGUGCGGGGAUCAAACAGG
RNAcentral lists this ribosomal RNA (253 nucleotides) under uncultured bacterium. RNAcentral's name for it is "partial 16S ribosomal RNA". It matches the Rfam family "Bacterial small subunit ribosomal RNA", at positions 524 to 776 of the family's 1533-position model. The record is from RNAcentral.